GGAUUCUAAAUUAAACUAUUCUUGG
This 25-nucleotide transfer RNA is filed under the name Atherinosoma elongatum. RNAcentral describes it as "partial tRNA-Pro". Lineage: Eukaryota; Metazoa; Chordata; Actinopteri; Atheriniformes; Atherinidae. The record is from RNAcentral.